Molecule: ribosomal RNA, 492 nt
Filed under: uncultured bacterium
Lineage: Bacteria
Description: partial 16S ribosomal RNA
Rfam family: Bacterial small subunit ribosomal RNA
Source: RNAcentral
AGUGAACGCUGGCGGUAGGCCUAACACAUGCAAGUCGAACGGCAGCACAGUAAGAGCUUGCUCUUACGGGUGGCGAGUGGCGGACGGGUGAGGAAUACAUCGGAAUCUACUUUUUCGUGGGGGAUAACGUAGGGAAACUUACGCUAAUACCGCAUACGACCUACGGGUGAAAGCAGGGGAUCUUCGGACCUUGCGCGAUUGAAUUAGCCGAUGUCGGAUUAGCUAGUUGGCGGGGUAAAGGCCCACCAAGGCGACGAUCCGUAGCUGGUCUGAGAGGAUGAUCGGCCACACUGGAACUGAGACACGGUCCAGACUCCUACGGGAGGCAGCAGUGGGGAAUAUUGGACAGUGGGCGAAAGCCUGAUCCAGCCAUACCGCGUGGGUGAAGAAGGCCUUCGGGUUGUAAAGCCCUUUUGUUGGGAAAGAAAAGCAGCAGGUUAAUACCCCGCUGUUCUGACGGUACCCAAAGAAUAAGCACCGGCUAACUUCGUG